This 498-nucleotide ribosomal RNA is filed under the name uncultured bacterium. RNAcentral's name for it is "partial 16S ribosomal RNA". It matches the Rfam family "Bacterial small subunit ribosomal RNA", at positions 29 to 523 of the family's 1533-position model. The record is from RNAcentral.
AUUGAACGCUGGCGGCAUGCCUUACACAUGCAAGUCGAACGGCAGCACGGGGCAACCUGGUGGCGAGUGGCGAACGGGUGAGUAAUGCAUCGGAACGUACCUUUCAGUGGGGGAUAACGUAGCGAAAGUUACGCUAAUACCGCAUAUUCUGUGAGCAGGAAAGCAGGGGGUCGCAAGACCUUGCGCUGAUUGAGCGGCCGAUGUCAGAUUAGCUAGUUGGUGAGGUAAAGGCUCACCAAGGCGACGAUCUGUAGCGGGUCUGAGAGGAUGAUCCGCCGCACUGGAACUGAGACACGGUCCAGACUACUACGGGAGGCAGCAGUGGGGAAUUUUGGACAAUGGGGGCAACCCUGAUCCAGCCAUGCCGCGUGAGUGAAGAAGGGCGUCGGGUUGUAAAGCUCUUUCGGCCGGGAAGAAAUCGCACGGGCUAAUACCCUGUGUGGAUGACGGUACCGGAAUAAGAAGCACCGGCUAACUACGUACCAGCCGCCGCCGCGG